CACCAUUUUUUGCGCGUUUUUUCAGUUGCGCGAUUGUUCCCUGGUUUCGUGUCGGGCGCCUUAAUUACCUUUGAAAAACGUUCACUCCUGCCUGUAUCACUUUUGAACGUGACCUACGGGGUUCUCAUCAAGGAUGCCAUAUCGAUCAACCAUGCCUGAUCUCGGGCCUGGGUUCUCAUCAAGGAUGCCAUAUCGAUCAACCAUGCCUGAUCUCGGGCCUGGGUUCUCAUCAAGGAUGCCAUAUCGAACAACCAUGCCUGAUCUCGGGCCUGGGUUCUCAUCAAGGAUGCCAUAUCGAACAACCAUGCCUGAUCUCGGGCCUGGGUUCUCAUCAAGGAUGCCAUAUCGAUCAACCAUGCCUGAUCUUGGGCCUGAGUUCUCAUCAAGGAUGCCAUAUCGAUCAACCAUGCCUGACCUCGGGCCUGCAGAACAAAGCUGUACUGAAGAAAGUCUGGUCGGUAACAACGAAAUGUGGAUGCACCCCCGUCAAGCGUGUUGGUGUCCAAGGUCGGCCGGUUCUUGCUGGACUGCUGAUCCAGAGAAUGUGAAACUGCGUCUGUUGUCUUCCAGCCUACAAAUGCCUCGUAGGCCUGCACUAUACUGCUGCUACAGGAACCAGGUGUGAUGAAACGCUGACCCCGGCCUCC
Long non-coding RNA from Rhipicephalus sanguineus (brown dog tick), 647 nucleotides. RefSeq lists it as uncharacterized. NCBI's taxonomy places the organism in Eukaryota, Metazoa, Arthropoda, Arachnida, Ixodida, Ixodidae. The transcript is spliced from 4 exons. The record is from RefSeq and is a predicted model, not a curated record.